AGAUUUUUGUGUCUCAGCCCAUAGACUUCCUUGCAUGGCUCUAGUUAAUUUUAACCAAUGAUAUGGUUUCAGAUUGGCCCUUCUAGGUUGACCCUGAAUUCUUUGACUUGAACGUAAUAGGCCUCGCCCCUUUGCGCCAGGUGGUCCAGGAACUGGAGGUGCAGCAGGUCCAGGAACUGGAGGCGCAGCAGGUCCAGGAACUGGAGGCGCAGCAGGAGAUCCAAAUCGAGCACCAGAAGGUGGUCCAGGAACUGGAGGCGCAGCAGGAGAUGGUGAUGAAGUGGCGGGGGAGCUUGACAAUCCUUUGGCACAAGGAGCAGGAGGUGGUGGCACAGGAGGAGCACAUGCAGAACUGUUAGAUGAGUUUUGAGCAGAACUUGGAGGAGGAGGAGGUGGUGGUACUUUAUCAACACUAGAAGGGCCCAAAUUGUUAGAUGAGUUUUGAGCAGAACUUGGAGGAGGAGGUGGUGGUGGCACUUUAGCAACGCCGGAAUGGCCUGUUACAGACCCAGGAGAUGGGGCAGGAGGAGGUGGAGGAAGUCCUGAGCUAGCAACUAGUGAAUGUGGAGGAGAAGGGAGAGCUGAAUGUGAAUUCUUAAUUGUGGAGGAUGAUGUUCCUGAAGAAAAAAGGGGUGGAGGGGGAGGGGGAGAGGGAGAGGGAGCUGAAGCUG
Molecule: long non-coding RNA, 671 nt
Filed under: Manihot esculenta (cassava)
Lineage: Eukaryota; Viridiplantae; Streptophyta; Magnoliopsida; Malpighiales; Euphorbiaceae
Description: long non-coding RNA (MESC_LNC009956)
Source: RNAcentral